This 253-nucleotide ribosomal RNA is filed under the name uncultured bacterium. Its description in RNAcentral is "partial 16S ribosomal RNA". It matches the Rfam family "Bacterial small subunit ribosomal RNA", at positions 524 to 776 of the family's 1533-position model. The record is from RNAcentral.
UACGAAGGGGGCUAGCGUUGUUCGGAUUUACUGGGCGUAAAGCGCACGUAGGCGGAUCGUUAAGUCGGGGGUGAAAUCCUGGAGCUCAACUCCAGAACUGCCUUCGAUACUGGCGAUCUUGAGUUCGGGAGAGGUGAGUGGAACUGCGAGUGUAGAGGUGAAAUUCGUAGAUAUUCGCAAGAACACCAGUGGCGAAGGCGGCUCACUGGCCCGAUACUGACGCUGAGGUGCGAAAGCGUGGGGAGCAAACAGG